RNAcentral lists this ribosomal RNA (115 nucleotides) under Castor canadensis (American beaver). The record is from RNAcentral. Lineage: Eukaryota; Metazoa; Chordata; Mammalia; Rodentia; Castoridae.
GUUUAUAGCCAUACCAACCCAAACAUGCCCAAUCUCAUCUAAUUUUGGAAGCUAAGCAGGGUAAGGCCUGAUUAGUAUUUGGAUAUGAGAAAGAGGAAUGUCUGGUUAGAGAGCA